Molecule: non-coding RNA, 89 nt
Organism: Oidiodendron maius Zn
Lineage: Eukaryota; Fungi; Ascomycota; Leotiomycetes; Myxotrichaceae
Source: the annotation of a GenBank genome assembly
UUAAGUUUGGUAGAGUGGUUAAUACGUAUGACUCGGGUAGUUUUCGAUAUCAUAUGCCUUCAGGCACAGCUCAAAUCCUGCAGCUGUCG